This 340-nucleotide long non-coding RNA is filed under the name Ricinus communis (castor bean). RNAcentral describes it as "long non-coding RNA (RCOM_LNC002274)". The record is from RNAcentral. Lineage: Eukaryota; Viridiplantae; Streptophyta; Magnoliopsida; Malpighiales; Euphorbiaceae.
GGGGGUUUCUCACUAUCACUCUUACACUCUCUUUUCUCACUAUAUUUCUAAUGGUAUGACUUGAAGAAUACAAUACUUUCUUAUUAUUUUUCAGUCUGCCUUCUUUGGUAACUCCUCUAUUUAUAGAGGUCUUCAGCCUUGAGGCUCCAUAAUUGUUGCUUUGGAUGCUCUUCAUAAUAGAGUUUUGAUAAUGGAGUGAGAGGCUCCAUGUCUUUUGCAGAAGUUGUCUGUCACGCUUCAACAGUGAGGAAUCUUUUAAAAAUAAAGGAGCAGGGAGGGUCUUUUGUCUUCUUUCUUUUUCUUUUUAAAAUGACUUUUUUUUUUAUAUUGGGCAUUUGGC